This 915-nucleotide ribosomal RNA is filed under the name uncultured bacterium. RNAcentral describes it as "bacterial SSU rRNA". It matches the Rfam family "Bacterial small subunit ribosomal RNA", at positions 8 to 916 of the family's 1533-position model. The record is from RNAcentral.
AGAGUUUGAUCAUGGCUCAGGACGAACGCUGGCGGUGUGCUUAAGACAUGCAAGUCGAGCGGUCCCGCAAGGGACAGCGGCGGACGGGUGAGUAACACGUGGAUAACCUGCCCGACUCCCCGGGAUAACAGGCCGAAAGGCCUGCUAAUACCGGGUAAGCUCACAUCACCGCAUGGUGGUGGGAGAAAAGGUCCCGCAAGGGACUGGGGUUGGAGGGGUCCGCGGUCCAUUAGCUAGUUGGGGGGGUAACGGCCCACCAAGGCGACGAUGGAUAGCCGGCCUGAGAGGGCGACCGGCCACACUGGGACUGAGACACGGCCCAGACUCCUACGGGAGGCAGCAGUCGGGAAUUUUGGGCAAUGGCCGAAAGGGCUGACCCAGCAACACCGCGUGAGUGAAGAAGGCCUUCGGGUUGUAAAGCUCUGUUGCCCGUGAAGAACGGUGCUUUCAGGAAAUGGGAAGCACUUGACGGUAGCGGGAGAGGAAGCUCCGGCUAACUACGUGCCAGCAGCCGCGGUAAUACGUAGGGAGCGAGCGUUGUCCGGAUUUAUUGGGCGUAAAGGGCGUGUAGGCGGCUUUUUAAGUCUGAAGUGAAAACUCGGGGCUCAACCCCGAGCCGGCUUCGGAUACUGGAGAGCUUGAGUGCUCUAGAGGGCAGUGGAAUUCCCGGUGUAGCAGUGAAAUGCGUAGAGAUCGGGAGGAACACCAGUGGCGAAGGCGACUGCCUGGGGAGUAACUGACGCUGAGGCGCGAAAGCUGGGGGGAGCAAACGGGAUUAGAUACCCCGGUAGUCCCAGCCGUAAACGAUGAGUGCUAGGUGUAGCGGGUAUCGACCCCCGCUGUGCCGGAGUUAACGCAAUAAGCACUCCGCCUGGGGAGUACGGCCGCAAGGUUGAAACUCAAAGGAAUUGACGG